UGAGUGUUGCGGAUGUUUCGCAGAAGUUGACCGAACUUGAUUAUUUAGAGGAAGUAAAAGUCGUAACAAGGUUUCCGUAGGUGAACCUGCGGAAGGAUCAUUAAAGUUCCUCAUUACAGUUAUAAACAAAAACACAAUAUAUAAAAUACUUAUAUUGUAAAAUUAUGGCAAAUGCCAAAAAGAAACAAAAUAACAAUAAUAAAAUGUUUAUUAUUGUAUCCGCCUCCUAGGCAAAAAAGUAUAGUAUAAAGUGUUUUGUGUGUGUUACACAUUACACAAAAAAUUCCUUAUUUAUAUAAAAUUUGUAAAAAUUGAAAUUGUGUGGACAUUAUAUCAAAUUAAUUUGUNUACAAAAUGUCUAAAAAUUUGAAAUACAUAAAAUUAUAGUUGUACUUGUAUAAAAUUGAAAAGUAAUUUUAUAUAAGUCAAUCAUUGUUCUUUUUUUAAGAACUUGAGACAUUCGCAACAAAAAUUUUAUGUUUUAAUUAUAAAAGAGAAUAAUAAUAAGCAAAAAUUAUUGAAGGAAUUGAUAUAUGCCAAUUUGAAAAUUUUUGGUGUAUUUUUGAUUUCUUUCAAUAAAUAUAUAUAUGAAGUGCUAUUGAAAAUAAAAAUUAUAUCACUCUAAGCGGUGGAUCACUUGGCUCAUGGGUCG
Molecule: ribosomal RNA, 652 nt
Filed under: Belvosia sp. Woodley04D
Lineage: Eukaryota; Metazoa; Arthropoda; Insecta; Diptera; Tachinidae
Description: partial ribosomal RNA
Rfam family: Eukaryotic small subunit ribosomal RNA (bases 1-103)
Source: RNAcentral